Molecule: unclassified non-coding RNA, 900 nt
Filed under: Alternaria tenuissima
Lineage: Eukaryota; Fungi; Ascomycota; Dothideomycetes; Pleosporales; Pleosporaceae
Description: sequence contains 18S rRNA gene, ITS1, 5.8S rRNA gene, ITS2 and 28S rRNA gene
Rfam family: 5.8S ribosomal RNA (bases 121-274)
Source: RNAcentral
CUGAAUUAUUCACCCUUGUCUUUUGCGUACUUCUUGUUUCCUUGGUGGGUUCGCCCACCACUAGGACAAACAUAAACCUUUUGUAAUUGCAAUCAGCGUCAGUAACAAAUUAAUAAUUACAACUUUCAACAACGGAUCUCUUGGUUCUGGCAUCGAUGAAGAACGCAGCGAAAUGCGAUAAGUAGUGUGAAUUGCAGAAUUCAGUGAAUCAUCUAAUCUUUGAACGCACAUUGCGCCCUUUGGUAUUCCAAAGGGCAUGCCUGUUCGAGCGUCAUUUGUACCCUCAAGCUUUGCUUGGUGUUGGGCGUCUUGUCUCUAGCUUUGCUGGAGACUCGCCUUAAAGUAAUUGGCAGCCGGCCUACUGGUUUCGGAGCGCAGCACAAGUCGCACUCUCUAUCAGCAAAGGUCUAGCAUCCAUUAAGCCUUUUUUUCAACUUUUGACCUCGGAUCAGGUAGGGAUACCCACUGAACUUAAGCAUAUCAAUAAGCCGGAGGAAUUAUUAUUAAAAAAUGUAUCAUCGGAUUUUUUUUUCCCCCCACUUUAAUUGCUAUUUUUUUCUUUUACAUAAAAAAAUAUUUUAUUUACAUUAAAGGAGCGUUUAUAUUUCUAGUAGUAAUGGAAUAAAAUUGUAUAAUAGAUUGUGAAGAAUUUACUGUUUACUUAUACCACAUCCCAUAUUAAACAAAAAAACAAAUAACUGCUCAGCACAUAACCGCUGAGAUCGAUACAACAUAUGCAUAUAUCCCCGCCCUCAGUACAACACACCCUAAAAUAACUACAAACUUAUAUAGCCUUAGCAAAGGUAUACCCACCCCAAAGCAAAUUGGGUGGACCUUCCCAGGGUAAAUCUACACCGGCAAUUUUAGGCACCCGACCCCUAGGCCUGGAGGUUACGUAAA